This is a long non-coding RNA of Wasmannia auropunctata (little fire ant), 1033 nucleotides long. RefSeq lists it as uncharacterized. NCBI's taxonomy places the organism in Eukaryota, Metazoa, Arthropoda, Insecta, Hymenoptera, Formicidae. The record is from RefSeq and is a predicted model, not a curated record. The transcript is spliced from 3 exons.
UUCAUUUUUGAUCUUAGAGUGAGUUAAUCAUCGCGAAUAUGCAGCUAUCUCUAUAAAGCCUUUUGAAUAAUCGGCGUUCUUGCGCAGCGUAUGUAUUAUAAAAUCACAUUGUACAGUGAUAAAGUACUCUAUUAUUUAUUUCGAUUUUUGUUCUCAAUGAACAUUUUACUCGCCAAUCUCAUUUAACUAUGUUUACUGAUCGUGCAUUCUGCAAGAAAUGUGUAUUCAUAAUUUACAAAGACGUUCGCUUACCUGGGCGUCGAUGUUGCCAAGCCAGGCGAAUUCUCGUAUCAGCUCCGUGAGAUACGAUGGCAGUUAUAUUUGUGAUGCACCAUCAUCUCUCCGAAGAAUAUCUUGACUGUUGCUGAUUGCCUGGAUAAUAUCGUAACUCAAACCUACGACAAUCGAUUCUUCACGGUUGCGACUGGCUCCAUUAAAAACAAUGAAGCCGCGAGAUUUACGCUGUAGAGAGCAUUACCAAACAUCCGGGAUACACGGGCAUGGAAAAUUCUUGGGAGAAUAACAUUGCAGUAAUCAUAUAUUCGACAGCCCGAUUAGAUUCAAUCAAUACCAACAUUCGAUCCCCCUAGCCACCGAUAAGCUUGUUAGCGGAACGAGAUAUAUCGUAUCUGGAUGGAAUAAUAACGGACGGUUCGAAUUCUGAAAACUCGGAUGGUCUCUUCUGAAAACGGAAAAGAUCGUGAUCACGAAGAGCCAAUGCCAACGAAGCUACGAUAAUACUUUGAGUGAAGACAACUUGUGCACGAUCUGCAGUUCCAAUGGAAUUGGUGAUUGCUUUGCUCUUGAGGCAGGUAUAACUAUGCGGAUUACUACUAAUUUCCAACGCAUUUUUAAGAACAAAAUAGUUAAUAAUUUGUAAAAAAAAGUAUCAUAAAAAAUAAUGAAUUUUGUUGUUUAUAAAACAAUUAAUAUAGUAUUUGUUUACCCAUUCUAAAGGCAGUAUAAAAAGCUACGAUUUAAUUUUUUUGUUAAAAAUUAUGAUGUAUCACAAUAAAUUUUGCCGAAUGCUAAA